UUAGCAUAAGUUGUUGGUGCACAUAGGUGAGCCUAGUUGUUUGUAGGUUUUUUGUUUGACAUAUUAAACGUUAGUUUUAUUCCGCAUUUGUUCAAGCCUAAACCUUAACUAUUUUAAAGUGCCUAUUCACCCCCCCCCCUAGGCGACAUCCACGUCCUUUUCAAAAAGGAAGGAAGGAAGAAGAAGAAGAAGAAGAAGAAGAAGAAGAAGAAGAAGAAGAAGAAAAGGAAGGAAGAAGAAGAAGAAGAAAAGG
Molecule: long non-coding RNA, 253 nt
Filed under: Hordeum vulgare
Lineage: Eukaryota; Viridiplantae; Streptophyta; Magnoliopsida; Poales; Poaceae
Description: long non-coding RNA (HVUL_LNC010133)
Source: RNAcentral